GAGAGAUGGUUGAGUGGACUAAAGUGGCGGAUUGCCAAUUUGUGGUACGAGUUAAUCAUAUCGAGGGUUCAAAUCCCUCUAUUUUCG
Non-coding RNA from Datura stramonium (jimsonweed), 87 nucleotides. The record is from the annotation of a GenBank genome assembly. NCBI's taxonomy places the organism in Eukaryota, Viridiplantae, Streptophyta, Magnoliopsida, Solanales, Solanaceae.